Long non-coding RNA from Onychostruthus taczanowskii (white-rumped snowfinch), 229 nucleotides. RefSeq lists it as uncharacterized. The transcript is spliced from 3 exons. The record is from RefSeq and is a predicted model, not a curated record. Lineage: Eukaryota; Metazoa; Chordata; Aves; Passeriformes; Passeridae.
GGGGCAUCGGCAAGCAGGGCCUGCAGUGCAUGGUUUGCAGUUUCGUGGUUCACAAACGCUGCCACGAAUUCGUCACCUUCGAAUGUCCCGGGGCCGGGAAGGGACCCCAGACUGACGACCCCCGGAACAAGCACAAGUUCAAGGUGCACAGCUACAGCAGCCCCACCUUCUGCGACCACUGCGGCUCCCUGCUCUACGGCCUCGUGCACCAGGGCAUGAAGUGCUCCUG